Molecule: ribosomal RNA, 261 nt
Filed under: uncultured bacterium
Lineage: Bacteria
Description: partial 16S ribosomal RNA
Rfam family: Bacterial small subunit ribosomal RNA
Source: RNAcentral
UACGUAGGGUGCAAGCGUUGUCCGGAAUUAUUGGGCGUAAAGAGCUCGUAGGCGGUUUGUCGCGUCUGCUGUGAAAACUCGGGGGCUUAACUCCGGGCCUGACAGUGGGUACGGGCAGACUAGAGUGAGCGGUAGGGGAGACUGGAAUUCCUGGUGGUAGACGGUGAAAUGCGCAGAUAGUCAGGAGGAACACCGGUGGCGAAGGCGGCAUCCUGGACCGGCAUUGACGCUGAUGAGCGGAAAGCUAGGGGAGCAAACGGG